Molecule: long non-coding RNA, 2515 nt
Filed under: Gallus gallus (chicken)
Lineage: Eukaryota; Metazoa; Chordata; Aves; Galliformes; Phasianidae
Description: lncRNA (ENSGALG00010025819.1)
Source: RNAcentral
CGGGUUUUAAUCAGAAUAGAACUUCCUCUGACAGAACGAGGAAAGGCUGGCGCUCAGGUUGGCCCCAUUGGCCGUGCAGGAUCCCACAUCCCCUCUCUGUGCCCCCAGGGUGGCUUUGUCAGCUUACCCAAGGGAUGCUGUCACCCUGGGGGUGGUGACAAAGGCUUUCGUCAGCCUCAGGCUGAGCAAAUUGGGGGCACAGGGGGAAGUGUGAGAGAGAGCAUCCCCAGAGCUGCAUCCCCUGUGCUCAGGGAUGGGCACACGCUGACAUCUCAGCCAGCUGCUCCCGCGUCCCAUCAGCAAAGUCCCCGUGCAAAUGAAAGCUCCUCGCUGUGGCGCACAGGAAAUGGGCCUCAGCCUCAGCUCCAAAGCACCAGAACUCAUUCCAGGCGCGGAGGGAAACAUUUCCUUUCAUCUCAGGCCAGGAGUGGAAGCGGCCCUUUCGUCUCCCCCCGCCCCAUUCCCCCCCCCAGAUGGAGCUUUGAAGGCUGGCGGGGCCCUCCCACAUGUGCUGCUGGGGCUGUGAGCGGUGUCUGCUGCGGGACGGGGGGAGCAGAGGGUGGGGAGCAGCCCAGUGGGGCUCUGCCCUCGGAGGUGCCCAAAUGGGGCCGUGAUCCCACAGCCCACCCUCCCCCAGCCCCAUCUCCAGGCAUGGGGACAUCCAUGGGAUGGAGGGCAGUGGGACCACCGCAGGCAUCACUUGGCUGCUUGGGGUUUCUGUGGGCUCUUCUUCCCCAGCAGGAAGGUCGUUUGUGAUGGGGGUGGAGCGGCUGCCCUUCGCUCUGUAAUGCCUUCAGGGUUUGGGUUUUGGGAGGUUUUUGGAGUUUUGGGGGCUUUCUGCCCAAGGGCUGCGAGGAGGGCAAAGGGGUUUUACAUGGGCUGUAGGGACAGAGUUACAGAGAAGUGUUACAGGGUCAUGGAGUCUCCCAGGCUGGAAGGGACCCAUAGGGACCAUUGAGUCCACCUCCUGCCUGCUGGUGUAGGUGGGGUGGGGAAGGAUCCUCACCCCUCCCCCCCCCAAAUUCUUCUUCUUUCCAACCCAUUUAUUGAUAGCAGAGCAAUGGAGGGCGACGCCCACGUGGCAGUGGGAGGGUGCGCACCCCAUCCUCUCCCAUCCCACCCCAACUCAAGCUAAGGCGCUGCCCCACAUGGGCCACGGAGAGGACCCAGGACCUUCCCUCCAUCCCUGGCGCAGCUCCGGUUUGGCCCAGAGCUCGGAGGGAGGAGAUGCUGAGCACUGAGUCAGCUGUGAGCGCAAAGCCGCUCACAUAGAAAUAACUCCGCGUUCUUUGGGACGUGCAUCAGCAGCAUCACCCGACUGCCCCUCUGCUCUGCGCUUUGUGGCCUCAUCCCACCGGUGGGCUUUGGGAGAACAGCCUGAGGGAAGCCAUGCAACCGUGCUGGUUUGUUGGUGCCUUCCUUUUGGGUCCCAUCCAGCUCUGCUCGCCGUUGGGAAGUGAGAAACACAAUUCCCCUCCGUUAUUCUCACUCCCAAUUCCAACCUCCAAAGCGAACAUCCGGGGGCAGUUUCGCUCCCUGCCCUUCCAGCCCCUUAUUUAUUGCUUUAUCAGCUUUUUCCAGAAGCAGAUGAAGCAAAUCCUCCCAUAAAUGCCUUCCUCGUUGCUGACUGCUCUGCUUUCCCACAGACGUUGAAGCUGAUGCAGGAGGACUGAGUGGGUCUCUGCAGGGGGAGGGAUGGAUGGAUGUUGGGGUGGUUUGGAGCUGCAUGCAGGCAGAGGUAACUGCACACACAGACACAUUUCCACCUCACCUCCACUCCUUUGGAAGCAGAUCUGGUUCUGUGCAUGGUGGAGAAAAGGGGAUUGGCUUCUUCUUGGCCUUGCUGGGAUUUUAGGAUGGUGGGAGAGGAGGGAGGGACAGCGUGGUGCCAAAGUGCAUGGAGCAAUAGGGAUAAGGGGUGUGAAGGAUGGGAGAGCAGGGAGCUGUGGGGAGGUCGGGGGGGGCGGAUGCUGUGAGAGCUGAGCACGAACCACAGGAUGGGAACCAAUGGGGCUGGGAUGGAGCCCAGCAUGGAGAAGCUCCAGGAACUCUGCGCCUGUGGGCUGGUAUCUGCAAGAGGAGCUUUGCAUCUUCCUUUGUGGGCAGAGCAGCGCGGAGCGUUGGGCAGGCAGUGUGUGCACACAGACAGGAUGAAGCCACGACGCUCCCUACGGAACGAACCCCCUGCUUUGCAUCCCACGGCACCGUCUGAGGCCGCAGCAUCUCCUGCUGGAAGUGAUUCACUGCAGUGCACAGCGGGAUGGAGCUGAGCUCCCAGCUGUGCCUUUGGGGUCUGCGCUCUGUGAGUCACCAACAUCCAGUCCUGGUGCAAGGCUGGGGCCGGCCGCUUACUGGGAGCACUGCGAUGGAGCUCUGUGCCACCACCUGAAAAGAGAAACCCGAGUUCCAGGGACGCGAAGUCACCUCGAGAAGGAAACGAAACGAACGGUUCGGCCGUCCAUCAGCGCUGCGGGGCGCGGAUCAAAGCCGCCCCGCAGCCCCGCGCCGCCCGCAG